UGGGGAAUAUUGCACAAUGGGCGCAAGCCUGAUGCAGCCAUGCCGCGUGUAUGAAGAAGGCCUUCGGGUUGUAAAGUACUUUCAGUCGGGAGGAAGGUGGUAAGGUUAAUAACCUUGGCAAUUGACGUUACCGACAGAAGAAGCACCGGCUAACUCCGUGCCAGCAGCCGCGGUAAUACGGAGGGUGCAAGCGUUAAUCGGAAUUACUGGGCGUAAAGCGCACGCAGGCGGUUGAUUGAGUCAGAUGUGAAAUCCCCGGGCUUAACCCGGGAAUUGCAUCUGAUACUGGUCAGCUAGAGUCUUGUAGAGGGGGGUAGUAUUCCAUGUGUAGCGGUGAAAUGCGUAGGAAUGUGGAGGAGUACCGGUGGCGAAGGCGGCCCCCUGGACAAAGACUGACGCUCAGGUGCGAAAGCGUGGGGAGCAAACAGG
RNAcentral lists this ribosomal RNA (429 nucleotides) under Chloroflexota bacterium. Its description in RNAcentral is "Chloroflexi bacterium partial 16S ribosomal RNA". It matches the Rfam family "Bacterial small subunit ribosomal RNA", at positions 355 to 776 of the family's 1533-position model. Lineage: Bacteria; Bacillati; Chloroflexota. The record is from RNAcentral.